ACGUAGGGGGCGAGCGUUGUCCGGAUUCAUUGGGCGUAAAGAGCUCGUAGGCGGCUCAGUAAGUCGAGUGUGAAAUCUCCCGGCUCAACUGGGAGGGUGCGCUAGAAACUGGUCUGCUGGAGUGUGGGAGAGGUAAGCGGAAUUCCUGGUGUAGCGGUGAAAUGCGUAGAUAUCAGGAGGAACACCUGCGGUGUAGACGGCUUACUGGACCAUGACUGACGCUGAGGCACGAAAGCGUGGGUAGCAAACAGGA
RNAcentral lists this ribosomal RNA (253 nucleotides) under uncultured prokaryote. Its description in RNAcentral is "partial 16S ribosomal RNA". It matches the Rfam family "Bacterial small subunit ribosomal RNA", at positions 525 to 777 of the family's 1533-position model. The record is from RNAcentral.